GCCAGCGGCGAUAGCACGUUGAAUACACGGUUCCCAAUGAAUCACUUGAGUUGAGCAACGUGGCGCAUGUUUAGUAUCCGGAUGGGUGACCAUCUGGGAAACCGCGUGCUGUUGGCU
Molecule: ribosomal RNA, 117 nt
Filed under: Diaphorina citri (Asian citrus psyllid)
Lineage: Eukaryota; Metazoa; Arthropoda; Insecta; Hemiptera; Psyllidae
Source: RNAcentral